This 760-nucleotide ribosomal RNA is filed under the name uncultured bacterium. Its description in RNAcentral is "bacterial SSU rRNA". It matches the Rfam family "Bacterial small subunit ribosomal RNA", at positions 589 to 1348 of the family's 1533-position model. The record is from RNAcentral.
UGUUCGUGAAAUCUCACGGCUUAACUGUGAGCGUGCGGGCGAUACGGGCAGACUUGAGUACUGCAGGGGAGACUGGAAUUCCUGGUGUAGCGGUGGAAUGCGCAGAUAUCAGGAGGAACACCGGUGGCGAAGGCGGGUCUCUGGGCAGUAACUGACGCUGAGGAGCGAAAGCGUGGGGAGCGAACAGGAUUAGAUACCCUGGUAGUCCACGCCGUAAACGGUGGGUACUAGGUGUGGGUUUCCUUCCUUGGGAUCCGUGCCGUAGCUAACGCAUUAAGUACCCCGCCUGGGGAGUACGGCCGCAAGGCUAAAACUCAAAGAAAUUGACGGGGGCCCACACAAGCGGCGGAGCAUGUGGAUUAAUUCGAUGCAACGCGAAGAACCUUACCUGGGUUUGACAUGCACAGGACGCCGGCAGAGAUGUCGGUUCCCUUGUGGCCUGUGUGCAGGUGGUGCAUGGCUGUCGUCAGCUCGUGUCGUGAGAUGUUGGGUUAAGUCCCGCAACGAGCGCAACCCUUGUCUCAUGUUGCCAGCGGGUAAUGCCUGGGGANCUCGUGAGAGACUGCCGGGGUCAACUCGGAGGAAGGUGGGGAUGACGUCAGUCAUCAUGCCCUUAUGUCAGGGCUUCACACAUGCUACAAUGGCCGGUACAAGGGGCUGCGAUGCCGCGAGGUUAAGCGAAUCCUUUUAAAGCCGGUCUCAGUUCGGAUCGGGGUCUGCAACUCGACCCCGUGAAGUCGGAGUCGCUAGUAAUCGCAGA